UGUUGUUGCAGUUAAAAAGCUCGUAGUCGGAUUUCAGUAUUAGGCCCUUCUUCCAAUACGGUUGCUAGUGGUCUUUACUUCCUUAACAGAAUCUUUCAUUUUAUUAAUUUAAAGCGUUUGGGGCCUGUUUCUUUUACUUUGAGAAAACUAGAGUGUUCAAAGCGGGUUUUCGCCUGGAUAUUACUCUUGGAAUAAUAAUAUAGGACUUUGGUUCUUUUUUGUUGGUGACUUAGAACCGAAGUAAUGAUUGAUAGGGACAGUUGGGGUCAUUCGUACUAUGAAGCGAGAGGUGAAAUUCAUGGACCUUUGUAUGACGAACUACUGCGAAAGCAUUUGACUAGGAUGUUCCCGUUGAUCAAGAACGAAAGUUGGGGGAUCGAAGACGAUCAGAUACCGUCGUAGUCUCAACCAUAAACUAUGCCAGCUAGGGAUUGGAGGAAGAUCAUUUUACGUCUCCUUCAUCACCUUAUGAGAAAUCAAAGCAUUUGGGUUCCGGGGGGAGU
This 503-nucleotide ribosomal RNA is filed under the name uncultured marine eukaryote. RNAcentral's name for it is "SSU rRNA". It matches the Rfam family "Eukaryotic small subunit ribosomal RNA", at positions 608 to 1124 of the family's 1831-position model. The record is from RNAcentral.